UGUGGGGUAGCUCAGUUUGUAGAGCGUGAGACUUUUAAUUUCCUGGUCGUGGGUUCGAGAUCUACAUUGGCAA
RNAcentral lists this transfer RNA (73 nucleotides) under Podarcis lilfordi (Lilford's wall lizard). It matches the Rfam family "tRNA". Rfam says of the family: Transfer RNA (tRNA) molecules are approximately 80 nucleotides in length. Their secondary structure includes four short double-helical elements and three loops (D, anti-codon, and T loops). Lineage: Eukaryota; Metazoa; Chordata; Lepidosauria; Squamata; Lacertidae. The record is from Rfam by way of RNAcentral.